Molecule: small RNA, 3911 nt
Filed under: Pongo abelii (Sumatran orangutan)
Lineage: Eukaryota; Metazoa; Chordata; Mammalia; Primates; Hominidae
Description: processed transcript
Source: RNAcentral
AAAUUUAUUUAUUUAGCAUUUUAUCAGGUACAAGAAAUAUUUGCCUACAGGGAGAAAACCACCACCACCACAAAUCCUACUACUAUAUGCACUAUAUUAAGCACAUGAGUUGAUCAAGGGGAAAAAAGUUAGUUUCUCCAGUUCAUGGGCUUUGAGAUUUUAAAUGUUUUCUGAAAUCAUUAAUGGAGAAAUUUAAAUAACCAAAAAUUUGAAUUAAGGAUGGGAAACGGCUGAUUUUAAAAAUGGAAAUAUCACAUAAUAUGUCUGUUUGAAAUGGAAACGACAAAAAUUUAAAAAUAGUUAAAGAAAUAUUUUGAGAAUUCAGUUGGCUUCAAUUGUUAUUUUCUAUUAGUGACGGAUAUCACAAGUAAAAGACAGUCCUUAUUUAUUUGUUAUUUAAUUAGGAUUUAUAUAUAUACACACAUAUAUAAAGACUAUAUAGACUAUAUAUAUACACACUGUUAUAUAUAUGGAAUAUAUAUAUGUUUGUGUAUAUAUGUAUGUUUGUGUGUGUGUGUGUGUGUGUAUAUAUAUAUAUUUGUUCUCAUGCUGCUAUAAAGAAGUGUCCAAGACUGAGUAAUAUAUAAAGGAAAAAGAUUCAAUCGACUCACAGUUCCACAUGACUGAGGAAGCCUCAGGAAAUGUAGAAUCAUGAUGGAAGGGGAAGCAAACCCAUCCUUCACUUGAUGGCAGGAAGGAGAAAUUCUGAGCAAAAGGGGGGAAAGCCCCUUAUGCAACCAUCAGGUCUUGGGAGAACUCACUCACUAUCAUGAAAACAUCUGUAUGGGAUUACCGCCCCCAUGAUUCAAUUUCAAUUACCUUCUACCAGGUCCCUCUCACAACACAUGGGGGUUAUGGGAACUACAUUCAAGAUGAGAUUUGGGUGGGGACACAGCCAAACCAUACAUAUAUACAUACACACACACACACACACACACACACACACAGAGUCUAUAUAUAUACAUACACACACACACACACAUAAAUAAGGACUGUGUAGAUAUGUGUGUGUAUAUAUAUAUAUAAAUACAGUCCUUAUGUGUUUAAAUAUAUAUUUACUGUCCUUAUUGAUAUGUUUUGUGUGUGUGUGUGUGUGUGUGUGUGUACACACUGCCAGAGGUUUGAAAAGGUUAAGAUUUUAUCAGUAAGAAAAAACCAGUCACCUCUUCCAGCCCAUGCACCAUGUUGUCCUGCCACUCCGCUGUCCCACUCCUCCACCAGUUGCAAUGGAAGAAGAGAUCGCCGUGCUGGUGAUUGACAAUGGCUCCAGCAUGUGCAAAGCUGGCUUUGCUGGGGACGACAACCCACAGCCAUGUUUCCUUCCAUAGAGAAGAUCUGGCAUCACACCUUCUACAAGGGGCUGCACAUGGCCUUGGAAGAGCACCCGGUGCUGCUGACCGAGGACCCCCUGAACCUCAAGGCCAACAGAGAGAAGAUAACUCAGAUCAUGUUUGAUACCUUCAACACCCUGGCCAUGUACGUGGCCAUCCAGGCUAUGCUGUCCCUCUACACCUGUGGGUGCACACUGGCAUUGUCAUGGGCUCUGGAGAUGGGGUCACCCACAUGGUGCCCAUCUAUAAGGGCUACGCCCUCGCCCACACCAUCCUUCAUCUGGACCUGGCUGGCCAGGACCUGACCAACUACCUCAUGAAGAUCCUCACCAAGGGUGGCUAUAGCUUCACCACCACUGCCAAGAGGGAGAUUGGGCACUACUUUAAGGAGAAACUGUACUAUGUUGCCCUGGACUUUGAGCAGGAGUUGGCCACUGCCACAUCCUCCUCCUCCCUGGAGAAGAGAUAUAAGCUGCCUGAUGGCCAUGUCAUCACCAUCGGCAACGAGGUUCCAGUGUCCCGAAAUGCUGUUCCAGCCUUCCUUCCUGGACAUGGAAUCUUGCGGCAUCCACCCAGACCACCUUCAGCUCCAUCAUGAAGUGUGACGUGGACAUCUGCAAAGACCUGUAGGCCAACACGGUACUAUCUGGUGGCACCAUGUACCCAGGCAUCACCGACAGGAUGCAGAAGGAGAUCACCACCCUGGCACCUAGCACCAUGAAGAUCAAGAUGAUCGCACCCCCAGAGCACAAGUACUUGGUAUGAAUCAGCGGCUCCAUCCUGGCCUCACGGUCCACCUUCCAGCAGAUGUGGAUUAGCAAGCAAUAGUACAAGGACUCGGCCCCCUCCGUCGUCCACUGCAAUGCUUCUAAAUGGACUGCGAGCAGAUGGCUAGCAUUUGCUUCAUGGGUUAAUUCAGAAGUAAAAAUUUGUCUCUUGCAAAUGCAUAUGCCUCAUGCUAGCCUCACCAAACUGGAAUAAGCCUUUGAAAAUAAGUUGUCUUUGAAGCUUGUAUCUAUGAAUAAACAGUUUGCCCUCAAGUAUUUAUUCAUGCCAAUAUUUACUUUUUAAAAUGUGCUUCUUACAGGAAUAUAAGUAGUUUCUGGAAAGGACACUGACAACUUCAAUGCAAAAUGAAGUUCUUUUUGUUGCUCUUAACCAUUGGGUUCUGCUGGGCUCAGUAUUCCCCAAAUACACAACAAGGACGGACAUCUAUUGUUCAUCUGUUUGAAUGGCGAUGGGUUGAUAUUGCUCUUGAAUGUGAGCGAUAUUUAGCUCCCAAGGGAUUUGGCGGGGUUCAGGUCUCUCCACCAAAUGAAAAUGUUGCAAUUUACAACCCUUUCAGACCUUGGUCGGAAAGAUACCAACCAGUUAGCUAUAAAUUAUGCACAAGAUCUGGAAAUGAAGAUGAAUUUAGAAACAUGGUGACUAGAUGUAACAAUGUUGGGGUUCGUAUUUAUGUGGAUGCUGUAAUUAAUCAUAUGUGUGGUAAUGCUGUGAGUGCAGGAACAAGCAGUACCUGUGGAAGCUACUUCAACCCUGGAAGUAGGGACUUUCCAGCAGUCCCAUAUUCGGGAUGGGAUUUUAAUGAUGGUAAAUGUAAAACUGGAAGUGGAGAUAUCGAGAACUACAAUAAUGCUACUCAGGUCAGAGAUUGUCGUCUGGUUGGUCUUCUUGAUCUUGCACUGGAGAAAGAUUAUGUGCGUUCCAAGAUUGCCGAAUAUAUGAACCAUCUCAUUGACAUUGGUGUUGCAGGGUUCAGACUUGAUGCUUCCAAGCACAUGUGGCCUGGAGACAUAAAGGCAAUUUUGGACAAACUGCAUAAUCUAAACAGUAAAUGGUUCCCUGAAGGAAGUAAACCUUUCAUUUACCAGGAGGUAAUUGAUCUGGGUGGUGAACCAAUUAAAAGCAGUGACUACUUUGGAAAUGGCUGCGUGACAGAAUUCAAGUAUGGUGCAAAACUCAGCACAGUUAUUCGCAAGUGGAAUGGAGAGAAGAUGUCUUACUUAAAGAACUGGGGAGAAGGUUGGGGUUUCAUGCCUUCUGACAGAGCACUUGUCUUUGUGGAUAACCAUGACAAUCAACGAGGACAUGGGGCUGGAGGAGCCUCUAUACUUACCUUCUGGGAUGCUAGGCUAUAUAAAAUGGCAGUUGGAUUUAUGCUUGCUCAUCCUUAUGGAUUUACACGAGUAAUGUCAAGCUACCGUUGGCCAAGACAGUUUCAAAAUGGAAAAGAACAUGGUUAUUUUCCGCAAUGUAGUGGAUGGCCAGCCUUUUACAAACUGGUAUGAUAAUGGGAGCAACCAAGUAGCCUUUGGAAGAGGAAACAGAGGAUUCAUUGUUUUCAACAAUGAUGACUGGUCAUUUUCUUUAACUUUGCAAACUGGUCUUCCUGCUGGCACAUACUGUGAUGUCAUUUCUGGAGAUAAAAUUAAUGGCAAUUGCACAGGCAUUAAAAUCUACGUUUCUGAUGAUGGCAAAGCUCAUUUUUCUAUUAGUAACUCUGCUGAAGAUCCAUUUAUUGCAAUUCAUGCUGAAUCUAAAUUAUAAAAUUCAAAAUUAAAUGCAUAUCCUCAAAAC